RNAcentral lists this ribosomal RNA (497 nucleotides) under uncultured bacterium. Its description in RNAcentral is "partial 16S ribosomal RNA". It matches the Rfam family "Bacterial small subunit ribosomal RNA", at positions 28 to 507 of the family's 1533-position model. The record is from RNAcentral.
GAUGAACGCUGGCGGCGUGCCUAAUACAUGCAAGUCGAGCGAACAGACGAGGAGCUUGCUCCUCUGACGUUAGCGGCGGACGGGUGAGUAACACGUGGAUAACCUACCUAUAAGACUGGGAUAACUUCGGGAAACCGGAGCUAAUACCGGAUAAUAUAUUGAACCGCAUGGUUCAAUAGUGAAAGACGGUUUUGCUGUCACUUAUAGAUGGAUCCGCGCCGCAUUAGCUAGUUGGUAAGGUAACGGCUUACCAAGGCGACGAUGCGUAGCCGACCUGAGAGGGUGAUCGGCCACACUGGAACUGAGACACGGUCCAGACUCCUACGGGAGGCAGCAGUAGGGAAUCUUACGCAAAGGGCGAAAGCCUGACGGAGCAACGCCGCGUGAGUGAUGAAGGUCUUCGGAUCGUAAAACUCUGUUAUUAGGGAAGAACAAAUGUGUAAGUAACUAUGCACGUCUUGACGGUACCUAAUCAGAAAGCCACGGCUAACUACGUG